ACGGAAGGCAGCAGUGAGGAAUAUUGGUCAAUGGGCGAAAGCCUGAACCAGCCAAGUCGCGUGAAGGAUGAAGGUAUUAUGUAUUGUAAACUUCUUUAGCAGCAGAGUAAUAAGGGGGUCGUGACCUCCGAUGCAAGUAUGCUGAAAAUAAGGAUCGGCUAACUCCGUGCCAGCAGCCGCGGUAAUACGGAGGAUCCGAGCGUUAUCCGGAUUUAUUGGGUUUAAAGGGUGCGCAGGCGGUUUUUUAAGUCAGUGGUUAAAUCGUGAGGCUCAACCUCAUCACGCCAUUGAUACUGGAAGACUUGAUUGCGGUUGAGGUUGGCGGAAUUCGUCGUGUAGCGGUGAAGUGCAUAGAUAUGACGAAGAACACCGAUUGCGUAGGCAGCUGACCAAGCCGUAAAUGACGCUCAUGCACGAAAGUGCGGGGAUCGAACAGGAUUAGAUACCCUGGUA
RNAcentral lists this ribosomal RNA (453 nucleotides) under uncultured Porphyromonadaceae bacterium. Its description in RNAcentral is "partial 16S ribosomal RNA". It matches the Rfam family "Bacterial small subunit ribosomal RNA", at positions 341 to 792 of the family's 1533-position model. Lineage: Bacteria; Pseudomonadati; Bacteroidota; Bacteroidia; Bacteroidales; Porphyromonadaceae. The record is from RNAcentral.